AUGAACGCUGGCGGCGUGCCUUAAGCAUGCAAGUCGAACGGGAUUUUGGAGUCGCCAGAUUUUAAUUUUCAGUGGCGGACGGGUGGGUAUAAGUAAGGCACGUACCCUAAACUAUCGCAUAGCUCGUCGAAAGACGGGGUAAUUCGGUAUGUGGUCCGGCGCCAGCCGGACCAAAGAGCGUAACAACUCGGUUUUGGAGCGGCCUUAUGUCUAUCAGCUAGUUGGUGGGGUAAAAGCCUACCAAGGCGACGACGGAUAGGGGGUGUGAGAGCACGACCCCCCACAAUGGCACUGAGACACGGGCCAUACGUCUACGGACGGCAGCAACUGGGAAUAGUCGGCAAUGGACGAAAGUCUGACCGAGCGACGCCGCGUGAGGGAUGAAGGGGGUCGGAUCGGAAACCGCUUUUGCCAAGCAGUCGAUGCUUGGAGAAUAAGCACCUACAAGCUAUGU
This 454-nucleotide ribosomal RNA is filed under the name uncultured bacterium. Its description in RNAcentral is "bacterial SSU rRNA". It matches the Rfam family "Bacterial small subunit ribosomal RNA", at positions 29 to 506 of the family's 1533-position model. The record is from RNAcentral.